This 519-nucleotide ribosomal RNA is filed under the name uncultured eukaryote. RNAcentral describes it as "SSU rRNA". It matches the Rfam family "Eukaryotic small subunit ribosomal RNA", at positions 1161 to 1699 of the family's 1831-position model. The record is from RNAcentral.
AGGGCACCACCAGGAGUGGAGCCUGCGGCUUAAUUUGACUCAACACGGGAAAACUCACCCGGCCCGGACACCGUAAGGAUUGACAGAUUGAGAGCUCUUUCUUGAUUCAGUGGGUGGUGGUGCAUGGCCGUUCUUAGUUGGUGGAGCGAUUUGUCUGGUUAAUUCCGAUAACGAACGAGACUCUAGCCUAUUAAAUAGGCUCUCGGCUUUUAAACGCCGGGAGGACUUCUUAGAGGGACAGGUGGCGGUUCAGCCGCACGAAAGAGAGCAAUAACAGGUCUGUGAUGCCCUUUGUUGUCCGGGGCCGCACGCGCGCUACACUGAAGAGAUCAGCGUGCUUUACGUUCCUGCUCCGACCGGAGUGGGGAACCCAGUGAACCUUCUUCGUGAUUGGGAUAGAAGAUUGUAAUUAUUCUUCUUGAACGAGGAAUUCCCAGUAAAUGCGAGUCAUAAGCUCGCGUUGAUUACGUCCCUGCCCUUUGUACACACCGCCCGUCGCUACUACCGAUUGAACGAUUU